Molecule: ribosomal RNA, 460 nt
Filed under: uncultured bacterium
Lineage: Bacteria
Description: partial 16S ribosomal RNA
Rfam family: Bacterial small subunit ribosomal RNA
Source: RNAcentral
CCUACGGGAGGCAGCAGUGAGGAAUAUUGGUCAAUGGACGAGAGUCUGAACCAGCCAAGUAGCGUGAAGGAUGACUGCCCUAUGUGUUGUAAACUUCUUUUAUAUGGGAAUAAAAUGUUCCACGUGUGGGAUUUUGUAUGUACCAUAAGAAUAAGGAUCGGCUAACUCCGUGCCAGCAGCCGCGGUAAUACGGAGGAUCCGAGCGUUAUCCGGAUUUAUUGGGUGUAAAGGGCGCGUAGGUGGAUUGUUAAGUCAGUUGUGAAAGGUUGCGGCUCAACCGUAAAAUUGCAGUUGAAACUGGCAGUCUUGAGUACAGUAGAGGUGGGCGGAAUUCGUGGUGUAGCGGUGAAAUGCUUAGAUAUCACGAAGAACUCCGAUUGCGAAGGCAGCUCACUGGACUGCAACUGACACUGAGGCUCGAAAGUGUGGGUAUCAAACAGGAUUAGAUACCCUAGUAGUC